Molecule: ribosomal RNA, 473 nt
Filed under: uncultured bacterium
Lineage: Bacteria
Description: bacterial SSU rRNA
Rfam family: Bacterial small subunit ribosomal RNA
Source: RNAcentral
ACUCCUACGGGAGGCAGCAGUGGGGAAUAUUGCACAAUGGGCGCAAGCCUGAUGCAGCCAUGCCGCGUGUGUGAAGAAGGCCUUCGGUUGUAAAGCACUUUCAGUCGUGAGGAAGGUAGUGUAGUUAAUAGCUGCAUUAUUUGUACGUUAGCGACAGAAGAAGCACCGGCUAACUCCGUGCCAGCAGCCGCGGUAAUACGGAGGGGUGCGAGCGUUAAUCGGAAUUACUGGGCGUAAAGCGCAUGCAGGUGGUUUGUUAAGUCAGAUGUGAAAGCCCGGGGCUCAACCUCGGAAUAGCAUUUGAAACUGGCAGACUAGAGUACUGUAGAGGGGGUAGAAUUUCAGGUGUAGCGGUGAAAUGCGUAGAGAUCUGAAGGAAUACCGGUGGCGAAGGCGGCCCCCUGGACAGAUACUGACACUCAGAUGCGAAAGCGUGGGGAGCAAACAGGAUUAGAUACCCUGGUAGGACAGUG